AUUGAACGCUGGCGGCAUGCCUUACACAUGCAAGUCGAACGGUAACGGGCCUUCGGGUGCCGACGAGUGGCGAACGGGUGCGUAAUACAUCGGAACGUGCCCGAUCGUGGGGGAUAACGAGGCGAAAGCUUUGCUAAUACCGCAUACGAUCUACGGUUGAAAGCCGGGGACCGCAAGGCCUUGCGCGGACGGAGCGGCCGAUGGCAGAUUAGGUAGUUGGUGGGAUAAAAGCUUACCAAGCCGACGAUCUGUAGCUGGUCUGAGAGGAUGAUCAGCCACACUGGGACUGAGACACGGCCCAGACUCCUACGGGAGGCAGCAGUGGGGAAUUUUGGACAAUGGGCGCAAGCCUGAUCCAGCCAUGCCGCGUGCAGGAUGAAGGCCUUCGGGUUGUAAACUGCUUUUGUACGGAACGAAAAGCCUUCUUUUAAUACAGGAGGGUCAUGACGGUACCGUAAGAAUAAGCACCGGCUAACUACGUG
This 482-nucleotide ribosomal RNA is filed under the name uncultured bacterium. RNAcentral describes it as "partial 16S ribosomal RNA". It matches the Rfam family "Bacterial small subunit ribosomal RNA", at positions 30 to 507 of the family's 1533-position model. The record is from RNAcentral.